CCAGUGGGGCUCCCAUCACACCCCAGAGUGCCGCAAUAAGAAGGUGAGUUUGACACACCAAGAAUUAACCCCAAAUCCAAGCUCUUGAAUCCCAUUUGUCUAAGCAAGCCCAGGCUAGUUUCGAAAGAGACGCGGCGGAAAAGAAAGAGGCUCAGCAGAGCCAUGGAUCUGCGCUCCAGCCCAUUCCCAAAGACCCUCCCAGAUGGCAUCUCGCAUGGUAACACACAGAAAAUCCCCGGCCAUCGGCAAAGGGGACAUCUCAGCACAAGCCAGUCAUUUAAAAAUCUGUUAAAAAGUGGAGUGGGGGAAUAUGCCAGGCAAGCAAGAUCUGCAGGCCGGAGAGCUGGGGCCAGCUAGACCAAUUACUGCCUGACUUAUUCAGCAGCCUCAGAGAGAGAAUCUAAGAUAGAGAUAGGUACCAAGACGGAAAUUCAGAGCCAACUGGAUCCGGGGCACCACGUCCAGCCUAUUAGAGAAAUGGAGGCCAGAUGCAGAGUUUAGAUUCAGAUUCGGAUACCGAACCCUCUCCACUCCUUCUGAAGCCUGGGACUUCGGAUCAGAUCCCUUGCUAAUUCUACGUCACGUUAUUAAAGGCACUUUUAUCAGGAUCUCUCCGCACCAGCGGACAGCUGCCGAGACAAUUCUCCUCCAAGGACGGCGCCCGCCCCUGAACACCCGGUGCUGAAUUUACACACUGACCAUCAUGCAGCAAUUUAUUGCUGGGGGGGAGAGGGGGAGAGAGCCAAGAAUCAUGCCCCCCCCCCAGCUUCCACAGUAACAUCCCAGCCAGGUUAGAGAUUUUUCCCACCCUCCUCCUACUCUGGAUUGUUUUUUUCCCCCCUCCACGUCCCUCACUGUUUGCCAGACACAUUACAAACAUGCUAUUCGCUUGGCCCGUGGCCUCAGGAUAUUUGUGGCUUCUUUCCCAAGGCUGCCAGCUCUGGUUGAUCCCACUCCAGCUUCUAGGGACUGCCCCAUUCUUGGUAAGGGGGGAAAAGGGAAAUUCUUCCACUACCAGGUGCCCCGCUGCUUAGCAUGGGCACUGCCCUGGGACUUACCG
This is a long non-coding RNA of Dermochelys coriacea (leatherback sea turtle), 1060 nucleotides long. RefSeq lists it as uncharacterized. Lineage: Eukaryota; Metazoa; Chordata; Testudines; Dermochelyidae. The record is from RefSeq and is a predicted model, not a curated record. The transcript is spliced from 3 exons.